AUGGAUACAGACACAGACACACGGACACACCUGGACAACAGAAAGAAAGGGGUGACAUCAGCAUGCCAGCUCUCACACUCUCCUCCUCCUCUUCUCUCUCUCUCUCUCUCUCUCUCUCUCUCUCUCUCUCUCUCUCUCUCUCUCUCUCUCUCUCUCUCUCUCUCUCAUCCUUCUCUCUCUCUCUCUCUCUCUCUCUCUCAUCCUUCUCUCUCUCUCUCUCAUCCUUCUCUCUCUCUCUCUCUCAUCCUUCUCUCUCUCUCUCUCUCUCAUCCUCCUCUCUCUCUCUCCUCUCUCUCCCUCUCUUUCUCAUCUUCCUCUCUCCUCUCUCUUUCUCAUCUUCCUCUCUCCUCUCUCUCUCAUCCUCCUCUCUCCUCUCUCUCUCUCUCAUCCUCCUCUCUCUCUCAUCCUCCUCUCUCCUCUCUCCUCUCUCCCUCUCUCAUCCUCCUCUCCUCUCUUUCUCAUCUUCCUCUCUCUCUUUCUCAUCUUCCUCUCUCUCUCUCUCAUCCUCCCCUCUCUCUCUCUCAUCCUCCUCUCUCCUCUCUCUCUCUCUUUCAUCCUCCUCUCUCCUCUCUCUCUCUCUUUCAUCCUCCUCUCUGCUCUCUCUCUCUCUUUCAUCCUCCUCUCUCCUCUCUCUCUCUCAUCCUCCUCUCUCCUCUCUCUCAUCCUCCUCUCUCCUCUCUCUCUCUCUCAUCCUCCUCUCUCCUCUCCCUCUCUCUUUCUCAUCUUCCUCUCUCCUCUCUCUUUCUCAUCUUCCUCUCUCUCUUUCUCAUCUUCCUCUCUCUCUCUCUCAUCUUCCUCUCUCUCUCUCUCAUCCUCCUCUCUCUCUCUCAUCCUCCUCUCUCCUCUCUCUCCCUCUCUCUCAUCCUCCUCUCCUCUCUUUCUCAUCUUCCUCUCUCUCUUUCUCAUCUUCCUCUCUCUCUCUCUCAUCCUCCUCUCUCCUCUCUCUCUCUUUCAUCCUCCUCUCUCCUCUCUCUCUCUUUCAUCCUCCUCUCUCCUCUCUCUCUCUUUCAUCCUCCUCUCUCCUCUCUCUCUCUCUUUCAUCCUCCUCUCUUCUCUCUCUCCCUCUCUCAUCCUCCUCUCCUCUCUCCUCUCUCUUUCUCAUCUUCCUCUCUCUCUCUCUCUCUCAUCUUCCUGUCUCUCUCUCAUCUUCCUCUCUCUCUCUCUCUCAUCUUCCCCUCUCUCUCUCUCAUCCUCCUCUCUCUCUCUCUCAUCCUCCUCUCUCUCUCUCUCAUCCUCCUCUCUCUCUCUCUCAUCCUCCUCUCUCUCUCUCAUCCUCCUCUCUCUCUCUCUCAUCCUCCUCUCUCUCUCUCUCUCAUCCUCCUCUCUCCUCUCUCUCUCUCUCAUCCUCCUCUCUCCUCUCUCUCUCUCUCUCUCAUCCUCCUCUCUCCUCUCUCUCUCUCUCUCAUCCUCCUCUCUCCUCUCUCUCUCUUUCAUCCUCCUCUCUCCUCUCUCUCUCUCUCUUUCAUCCUCCUCUCUCCCCUCUCUCUCUCUCUUUCAUCCUCCUCUCUCCUCUCUCUCUCUCUCUUUCAUCCUCCUCUCUCCUCUCUCUCUCUCUCUUUCAUCCUCCUCUCUCCUCUCUCUCUCUCUCAUCCUCCUCUCCUCUCUCCUCUCGCUUUCUCAUCUUCCUCUCUCCUCUCGCUUUCUCAUCUUCCUCUCUCCUCUCUCUUUCUCAUCUUCCUCUCUCUCUUUCUCAUCUUCCUCUCUCUCUCUCUCAUCCUCCUCUCUCUCAUCCUCCUCUCUCUCUCUCUCUCUCUCUCCUCUCUCUCUCUCUCUCAUCCUCCUCUCUCCUCUCUCUCUCUCUCAUCCUCCUCUCUCCUCUCUCUCAUCCUCCUCUCUCUCUCAUCCUCCUCUCUCCUCACACAUAAGGACAAUGAUGAAUGUUCACAGAUGAAACCCCUUUCUAAAUUAAUGUUAAUAUAA
This 1920-nucleotide long non-coding RNA is filed under the name Oncorhynchus mykiss (rainbow trout). RNAcentral describes it as "lncRNA (ENSOMYG00000068225.1)". Lineage: Eukaryota; Metazoa; Chordata; Actinopteri; Salmoniformes; Salmonidae. The record is from RNAcentral.